Molecule: long non-coding RNA, 4204 nt
Organism: Symphalangus syndactylus (siamang)
Lineage: Eukaryota; Metazoa; Chordata; Mammalia; Primates; Hylobatidae
Source: RefSeq, a predicted model, not a curated record
GUCCUUUCUGUUUGUUAGUUUUCCUUCUACCAGACAGGACCGUCAGCUGCAGGUCUGUUGGAGUUUACUAGAGGUCCACUCCAGACCCUGUUUGGCUGGGUGUCAGCAGCGGUGGCUGCAGAACAGCGGAUUUUCGUGAGACCACAAAUUCAGCUGUCUGAUAGUUCCUCUGGAAGUUUUGUCUCAGAGGAGUACCCAGCCGAGUGAGGUGUCAGUCUGUCCCUACUGGGGGGUGCCUCCCAGUUAGGCUGCUCAGGGGUGAGGGACCCACUUUAGGAGGCAGUCUGUCCGUUCUCAGAUCUCCAGCUGCGUGCUGGGAGAACCACUACUCUCUUCAAAGCUGUCAGUCAGACAGGGACGUUGAAGUCUGCAGAGGUUCCUGCUGAAUUUUUGUUUGUCUGUGCCCUGCCCCCAGAGGUGGAGCCUACAGAGGCAGGCAGGCCUCCUUGAGCUGUGGUGGGCUCCACCCAGUUCGAGCUUCCUGGCUGCUUUGUUUACCUAAGCAAGCCUGGGCAAUGGUGGGCUCCCCUCCCCCAGCCUCGCUGCCGCCUUGCAGUUUGAUCUCAGACUGCUGUGCUAGCAAUCAGCGAGACUCUGUGGGCAUAGGACCCUCUGAGCCAGGUGCGGGACACAAUCUCCUAGUGUGCCGUUUUCCAGGCCUGUUGGAGAAGCGCAGUAUUAGGGUGGGACUGACCCGAUUUUCCAGAUGCUGUCUGUUACCCCUUUCUUUGACUAGUAAAGGGAACUCCCUGACCCCUUGCGCUUCCCGAGUGAGGCAAUGCCUCGCCCUGCUUCGGCUCGUGCAUAGUGCACUUCACCGACUGUCCUGCACCCACUGUUUGGCACUCCCUAGUGAGAUGAAACCGGUACCUCAAACAGAAAUGCAGAAAUCACCCGUCUUCUGUGUCGCUCAGGCUGGGAGCUGUAGACCAGAGCUGUUCCUAUUUGGCCAUCUUCACAUUACUUCUUAAAUAAGAGAUCAGGUCAGUGCUAACUCCUACAGUAUAGAUGUCCCAGGUUGAAUAAAAUAGUUUCCUAAAAUCUCUACAUUUAUAACAAUGACAUACGACAGACAGAUGACUGCAAGAGGUAUGGUGAAGCUUAUGUAUACCUUAGCUAUUAGGGCAAGAAGUAUACAUUUUAGUACUUGUACUAGAACUAACAUAUAAAUUAAUGACUCGAUGUGGAAAAUAAAAGCAUUAUUGGUGAUUUAGGUGUUCCAAACAUUUGCUUUUCCUAGCAAAAUGCCAGAAUAUGUUGAUUCUUUGACUUGAUGUCAUUUAAUGGGAAUUCUGUUAGGUGAUUAGGGAAUUUGUGAUCCCUCUGAAAACAUUAACCAAAAAAUAGAAGGGAACUUUUCACAGUGUAAAAUAGUGUUUAAGAGUUUGGAGCCAGAAUCAUCCCUGGCUCUCUCUUCUACUAGCAUGGUGACCCCAGCAAAUUAAUCUUUCACCUCAGCAAAUUACUUACUCAGUUUCCUCAGAUGUAAAGUGGGGAUAAUAAUCAUACCUUUGGCAAAGCAGUGUUGUGAUGAUUGAGUGCGUAAAUGUAAAGCACUUAGAGACUGGCACAUCAAGUGCUAGGAAAGCGUUUGCCACCACGUUGUGGUCUUCCUUGUUGCAGUUAAAGGUGCUAAGAGUCUUUUAAAUUGCAAAUGCCCCUGAAUGUCAUAAAUCAUUGCACAAAACUUUUCAGAAGCCACCACUUAACUAAGAAUCCCAUUGAAAUAUCUAGCAGGCAGGCACUUGUGGGCAGACUUCUGGUCAGGGCACUGGAGGUGCAUCCCAAGAGAGAAGAGGGGAUUGACGGACUCACAUUUGCCAAAUGCCUGCUGUAUGCCAGGUGCUUUGCCCACCUUAAAGUCCUCCUGAGGGAAGGAAGCAGGAUGAAGCCCCGUGUCACACACCUGGGAGUGGUAGGCUGUGCUCGCCAGUACCUGCAGAGUCUCCCAGGCACUGGGGUGCUGGUGAGUGAGGGAGGUGCUUCUAGGAACCUUGCCCUAUCCAGCAUGGAACCAGCAUUUUGGUCCCAACGCACCGGACUUGGAACAUUCGAAUCUGAUCUAUAAUUUGCUCAUGGAUGGUGGCAGCCCUCGUGCCCACACUCUUAAGGGCCCUCGUGAGUGUGCACACGCGUUGAUGGGAAGGUGAGGGGUGUGGGGAGGCAGCCACAGCCUUCAGCUGCAGUAUCAUUGCAGAUGCUGGGGACUUGAGAGCUGAAAGGUGCUCUUAAAUUGCACAAAUGCAACAUGACUUUUAAAAGAAUCUGAGGCAAAAGGCACGCUCCAAAAAAACCCAUGUGAGCCAGGAGGAGACUGCCACUAUAGCUAACAAAGUGGGGAAGCAAUUUUGCAAAAUAAGAAAACUAGUCUCAGGCUAACCAGAGAUGCUGACAAACCUGAGAUUCCAGGUGGAUCUAAAUUAGAAAUCGGUCAAGGGAAAACACAGUGAUAGUCCCCCUUGUGGAUUCCAGUAAGAACUCUUUAAAUUCAUUGACCCUGAUGGAGUAGCAGUAGGAGAGAGAGGCCCUGGGCAUGCAAAUGCCCUCAGUAGCUCAGCUCUGCUCACUAGACACUCGGGUGGGUGAGGUUGGGCGCUGGGAAUCUCGUGGGGACAGGAUGCCUGCCUACUUGGCCCUCAACUCCAGGUGAAUCCUAUCCUUCUCUUCACCGUCUUCCUCCCCUUCCCUCUCUGGACCCUCUGCUUGCUCUGUGAACCUGGAUUGAUCUCCACUCACCCCUCACUCCUGAAUGGGGCCCUCGAAGGGAGACAUCCCUGGCUGUGCUGAUGUCAUGAAUGCUGCUAGGCCAGACUGGUGUCUGCAGGAGGACAAAGCAAGGGCUGGUUCUGACUUUGGUUUGAAGGUGAUUUUCCCACAGAUCCCCCUUGGCAUGAUGCUUUUACCUCAUUUGUCUCUGUGCCUUUGGCUCUAAAUCUUAACAUCUUAAUUAGAUUGUGUUUACAUUUGCACCAUACAUGUGGUCUGGCACUUGAAGAUUGGAUAGAGUGACACAAAUAUUUCGACUCAGGGAGUGCCAGUGGAGGGAGAGAGCCUGGAGACCAGCUACUCCAAUGCCCUCAUUUGCCUUUGCUCAUGUCCGUCUCAUCAAGCAGGGACCCUGCAGGUGGGAAAGAAAGAUGGCAAGAGGACAGCCAAUAUCACAUUUUCCUUCCCAAGACAGGGAUGAAAAGCCACCAAGACGGCUUUUGUGAAAAUCUCGAAGGACAAGAAAAGCCCACUUUAGUCAUCAGAUCUCAUUUCAUCUAUUGUUAACCUUGAGGAGUGGCGAGCCGGCUGUUCCUGCCAAGCUCUUCAGUACCCAGCUAGAUGGGCACCCUGAACAGAAGUGCUUCUGGACUAGUGCCAUAGGGACUGCUCUGAGUACCAGGGUGGCCUCGGGCAAGGCUCCAGCCCUUUCUUGAAUGACUUCCCAGGCCUGAGGAGGCACAGGUGAGAAAAUGUAUGUGGAAGCUCUCUACACACCGUGAAGUUCAUCCAAACGGAGCAGGAUGGUCUCUCUGGUCUGCUGUGCCCUCCCUCUCCCCACACCCAUAAAUAACAGCAGCCCUUCCAACCCUCCUCCUGAUCCUGUGCUCAGUGAUGGGGGCCUUGCAGUGGGCAGCCAGGGCCAGCAUGGCCAAGCCCUGUCAGUCCCUUCCCUCUGAAGGUGAACUGGACAGCAUUUGCUCUCUUUAGUGUGUGAUUUGGAUUUACACAAAUUCAAAAGCUGCCGGAUUUCAGAGCGUGUUUGUCACUGCCAUCGUCAUUCUUUUGUUCAGGCAGCAGUGAGAAUCUGCUCAGCACUUGUGAGCACUAUAUGCUGAAAUGCCUGAGAAGGCUUUCCUGCCCUGCAGGGACCAGGGCUCAGCACCUUUUUCAGGCUCCAGGAAGCUCAUAUCCCGCUGAUGAACAGCUCGUGGCCAUUGCAGCAGCAUGGAAAACCCGCAGCUCCUGGCAUUUAACUACAUGCCACUCAGGCACACUGAAGUCCUAAUGAUGUCUACCUUCUUUGGAGCAGGAGGCCACAUGCCCAGGACUGUCACAUCUAUGUCUCCACAUGGCUAUUGGGCACCGUCUGUGUGCGUGGAGGUGUGGGCAGAGGACCACGAUGAAGGCCACAGUCCCUCCAAAGCCAGCACUCCUGCCCCAAAGCCCCUGCAGGUGCAGGGUGGUGGCCUGUCUGAAGUUUAAAGGCUCACAUAGA